UACGUGGGGAGCAAGCGUUGUUCGGAUUUACUGGGCGUAAAGGGCGCGUAGGCGGCCAGCACAAGUCAGUUGUGAAAUCUCCGAGCUUAACUCGGAAAGGUCAACUGAUACUGUGCGGCUAGAGUGCGGAAGGGGCAACUGGAAUUCUUGGUGUAGCGGUGAAAUGCGUAGAUAUCAAGAGGAACACCUGCGGCGAAGGCGGGUUGCUGGGCCGACACUGACGCUGAGGCGCGAAAGCCAGGGGAGCGAACGGG
Molecule: ribosomal RNA, 254 nt
Filed under: uncultured bacterium
Lineage: Bacteria
Description: partial 16S ribosomal RNA
Rfam family: Bacterial small subunit ribosomal RNA
Source: RNAcentral